UGACGGGAUUUUUUCCCUUACAUACCAAAAGUACGUUAUGAGCAUCGGAUUGAAUCAAUGGUUGUUGACUAGUCUGGCGCUCUUCUUCUAUCAAACUAUAGAUAGGAAGGGUUUUUCCUUUAUCUUCUCACCAACUAGUCUCCCACGUCUUUUCAUUUUGAUGGUGUGACCUCGCGCAAAGCUUGGAUGGUUUUCUCUGGACCGGAGCACUAGAAAUACUAGUUUUAUCUUCUCCACGGCAACACAUGCACGUGAAUGAUGCCUUGGCACUUGGUGGCCGUGAGCUCCAUCCCUCUUUUUCUUUUGAUGAGCCCGCUGCUAGUGGAGCAGGUCUCUCCUUUUUUGCUUCUGUUUCCCAGUCAAUAGGUGUGUUUCCUCCCGGACGAACGACGGAGUAUAGCAAUUACACCGAGCAAACUCGUUUGCUCCUCUAGGCUACGGUGAGAUUAUUCUCGAUGAGGUAGUUUACAGCAAAUUGGUUUUCAGACUUUAGUCGGAUUCGUUGAUGAAGGAGAGGCGACAGCGGCAAGGCCCAAGGCCUCGGCAGUAAGGUGUGGCGACGAUUUACGGGCACGCAGGAGGAACGUGCGGCGGGCUAGGGAUUCCAACAUCGGCAACAGGUGUGCGGCCGUGGCGCGCAUUGAGGCAGGUGGCGGAGCGAGGCGCACGGUGGCGGACACGGCAGGCGCAGCGUCGCGCAGCAGCGAGAGCUGCGGCUGAAGGUGGAGGUGCGGCGGGUUGGAGCAUGCGGAGAUGAAGGCGAAGGCAUGGCGCGACCGAUGCAGCCGGGCGAGUUGAAGCGAAAACUGCAGUUGUGGAGAAGACCAGCAGGGGAGGAGACGGCAAGACGGCCGGCGGCUUGACGGGUGUGUUUGAGCGCAGACUGCGCGGGGCAGGUGAGCGGAUGGCCGGAGCUCAUCGCAAUACAGUGGGUGGAGUCGACCGUAAGAGCGGCGGCUCAAGGAUAUUGUGGCUCGGGGUCGGCUUAAUACAGGGCGACACCGUCCCAGAUCGAGAUGAACUCGGAGCGAGGCGGAGGCGCGUCACCAGCAUGGUAGGGCAGCUUGCGACGAAGCCAGCAGCAGUUGCGACGAGACCGAGUCUGCCUCUGAACUGUGGUCUUUCUUCCAAUAGCUUCAUGUACGCGAUGUUUGAUACUGGACGCUGUUUUUGCUUUUAAUUUGAUAUGAGGGAACAGUCCCCUUAUCUUGUCUGGACGCUGUAGUUCUUUGUAGCUUUGGGAUUUGAUAGUUCAA
Hordeum vulgare subsp. vulgare (domesticated barley) is the source of this 1256-nucleotide long non-coding RNA. RefSeq lists it as uncharacterized. Lineage: Eukaryota; Viridiplantae; Streptophyta; Magnoliopsida; Poales; Poaceae. The record is from RefSeq and is a predicted model, not a curated record. The transcript has 2 exons.